GACGAACGCUGGCGGCGUGCUUAACACAUGCAAGUCGAACGGAAAGGCCCUGCUUUUGUGGGGUGCUCGAGUGGCGAACGGGUGAGUAACACGUGAGUAACCUGCCCUUGACUUUGGGAUAACUUCAGGAAACUGGGGCUAAUACCGGAUAGGAGCUCCUGCUGCAUGGUGGGGGUCGGAAAGUUUCGGCGGUUGGGGAUGGACUCGCGGCUUAUCAGCUUGUUGGUGGGGUAGUGGCUUACCAAGGCUUUGACGGGUAGCCGGCCUGAGAGGGUGACCGGGGACAAUAGGACUGAGGUACGGCGCAGUCGGCUACGGGAGGCAGCAGGGGAGAAUCUUGCGCAGUGGGGGGAAGCCUGAGGCAGCGACGUCGCGUGCGGGAUGACGGCUUUCGGGUUGUAAACCGCUUUCGCCUGUGACGAAGCGUGAGUGACGGUAAUGGGUAAAGAAGCACCGGCUAACUACGUG
This 468-nucleotide ribosomal RNA is filed under the name uncultured bacterium. Its description in RNAcentral is "partial 16S ribosomal RNA". It matches the Rfam family "Bacterial small subunit ribosomal RNA", at positions 28 to 507 of the family's 1533-position model. The record is from RNAcentral.